Anas platyrhynchos (mallard) is the source of this 5889-nucleotide long non-coding RNA. RefSeq lists it as uncharacterized. The record is from RefSeq and is a predicted model, not a curated record. Lineage: Eukaryota; Metazoa; Chordata; Aves; Anseriformes; Anatidae.
UUUGUCUCCGCCACCGUCACGCCCGCAGCCCCCCCCCAGCAACCCCGCAAAAGGCGGAGCCGUCCCCGUUCCCCGCCCGUUAGGGCCGGGCAACGGCCGCCUGACGGAGGAGCCAUGGCGGGGGCCGCCUGACGGGAGGCCUCGGCCGGGGAGAGGAGGAGGAGGCGGCCGGUGGGGUGGGGGGGUGGGGGGCUCGCGGGUGACGGGACUCGCGGCGACCCCACCGGGGACAAAAAAUUGAGGGGAAAAAUCAACGGAAACGGGGCCAGCGGCGGCUUCAAGGCCGGCACGGAGCGGGAGGAGCCGCCCCCAAAGCGGGCCCGGGGACCGGCGGCUUCUCCUUAGGGUGACGCCGCGCCUGGGUUUGCCUGCCGGGGGGCUGCUGAAAGCUCGGGGAGGCGUUAAGGAGAAGCAGCUGGAUGUCUCCACGCUUCUUAAAAUAUCUUAAUAGGGAGGGUAUGUAAGCUCGCAAACGGUCUUGUCGCGUUCCUGCGCCUGCGGUUCGUCUGAGCUGAAGCGGCAGAGCGAAGCUGCGCUGCCUUCCUUGUGUCCUACCUCUCGAAAUCGCAGGCACCAAGAAUGCUGAAGGCCUGAAUUGUACUGCUGAAUGCUUGGAAAAAAAUGCCGAAUGCUUCGGAAAUGGACUCUGAAACGGGACGGCUGCAGCUGUGUCUUGGAUACUAGGAAUCCGGGCAAUCCAAAGGUCCCAAACUGGAAGGAAUUCAGCCUGCAGAAACUGAGCUGGCGCAAACUGCAUUGGAGCAAGACACUGAAAAGUUAGAUCUAAUUACUAAGCUUCAAAGGAACUUUGUGGCAGUAUCAUCAUCUUAUGUUUGGGGAAGAACAACAUUCCUUUCCUGACAACAGAGAGUUUAACAGCUUCAAGAGAGUACGGUGUCAGUCUGCAACAGCGCAGUUGGAUACCUUACUUGAUGCUGCUAUGGAAUCCCAGGACUGGGUUGGAUGCCAGUCCUUCACAUCUGGCCCAUGGGAGAAGACCAGCACAUUGCAGUUCCAUUUUAUUUCGUCAGUCCUCGGCAGGAAAUUACUCUUUUCCAUCCCACCAAUUGGUGGUGUUGACUUCCAAGUCAUUUUCAUUUUCUCCAACAAAAAAGAAAUAAAAAAUUCAUUUUUACUUUUUCUGUAGCUGCUCUGAAGUAGAUUUCAGAUAUGUUUCUGUUUUCUGCUCUUUGGCUUCUCUUGCUGAAGUCUAUAAAGGAUUAUAUUGUUGUUCAUUAGCCCACUGAGCUGCCAGACAUCCAAGGAAGAAUGAAAUUACCUUUGGCAAAACAACACUGGAUAGCACCGCAGCUCUGAUUCGGCCACAACAUAGCUAUUCUUUGAUGGGCAGCCUUUCUGACGGUGAAUGGAGAGGUGAUGUGCUCUUUUUGUGUGUGUGCCACUGCUGCAAACUGCUCAGUUCCUUUGCUUGUGAAAUGGAAGUCUUCCCAUUGCAAAUUCACUUACAUCCUUUUCUGGGCAUGACUUUUAUCUCAGGAACUGUCUCUCCAAACUUUCAGGAGUUCUAGGUCUCUCUAUUACAUGGUUUUGUCAAACAGCUUUUCUUUUUUUUUCCAUCUGCCAUCAGCACCAUUUUCUUGAGAUCCUGUUCAGCACAUGGGUGUGUAUGCAGACAUCUUACCCCAGUAGGCAGAACAAAUCUGGCAUCUUCCAUCACUUCCUUUUCCACAGAUGUGACAAAGUCAUCCACCCCCUCCCUUUUGAGGAGCUAUUCAGUUGCAGCAGAAAGCAACAGCUUGCUGUGAUGCACACAACUAGCCUGAUAAAUGACCUGUGGAAUGGUGGCUCCUCCAGCCAGUGCAGGCUGGGGCGUGAGGCAAACCGUCCUGCUCUUCUUUAACCUGUAUUUGAGUUUCUCACACAGAGUUGAAUGUGGACAUCUCAGUCUGUACAACUUUCCUACUCUGAAGUAAUCCCCGAAUCCCCUUGGGAAACUAGUCUUUUGAACCCACACUGGUCAAAAGUUGUGUUCCUGGGUUCAGUGAGAGUUCCCACGGAAUCCUGCAUAGUGUUUGUUCCUUACUCUGGUGCAGGAUUUGCAAAGCAUCUUCCUGUUAGCCUGGGUUGUAGCCAGAGGUACUUGGCUAUGUUCAACAACAGCUCUGUUGUGAGGCCCCUGUUCUGAAAAGUGGAGGUAACUGCUUGUAAUACCUGCACAGGCCUUGAAUCAACAGAUUUGUCUUCUCUAGGUUUUGAGAAACUUGACUUACAAGCCAGUACCCCAGGAGUGAGUUGCUGUAGUGGUGAGUACUAUGGCCUGCACCAGACAAGUGCCAUGAGGGCAACAAAGCAUCUUUCCCACACUUAUUUGAAGUUUCCAAAGCUAGUUAGUGGCUUUAUUCUGUGUGUAUGGACACAAAGAAACAUAAACUUUUGCACUAUAUAAAUGUGCUUUUCCCUGUUGGAGUAGUACCUGCAGUGAUGGUACUGGAAAAUAAACCUGGGAACCUCACCAGUGAUCCUCAGUGGCUUACCAGUGCUUCCUUUAUCUUUCCUUUCUCUGGAAAGAAAAAUCAGCAUCUAGCAUUGUCUCUGUGUGCAAAGUCCUCUGUAUACAUUGUGACAAAAGCUGCUGAAGUUCUCCACCAUGUUGUUUUUGCACUGAGUGUUCACUUUCAGUGUACUUAUCAAGAAGUUCAUCUGCAUUACAGGACACAAUAACCUAACUUGCAUGGAUCCCUUUUCUAUUGCCCUGGAUUUAUAGAAGGAAUUUCAAAGUAUCUUACUUUAAUGGGCUGUGAAACAUCUUGUGGACUCGCAGCUUUUUGUUCUUUUGUGUUGUGAGGCACGCUGGCUCUGCGCCAUGAUUCACCCUGGUUACCUUCUGUUACAGAUGGACAUUCUCCAUGCCAUGAAAUGUGCUGCUCUCAAAACAGGAUAAGAUAUUCUUCUUUAAAUGGAGCAUGAUUGUCUCAUUCAAAGAGAGGAGCAACAUUAUUCAAACCAUUCUGACUUUGCCUGGGCAUGAGUAAAAAUCUCAGGAUCAAUCUAAGACAAUGCAAGAAUGCAAGCCAUAAAGUCAGGAAUUUAGAUAAAAACAAGUGUCUUACCUAUAGUUUCUCUUAGCAAGGAGUUCUGCCUUAUGUGAUCUGGAGUGGACACACUUCUUGUAUUCAUAAUAACAUUCGUCCCAUCUCUCUGUUGUUCGAGUCAAGUAGCAGAACAAUUGGCUGACUAAUUCAAAGUAGACAUGGAGUGACACCUCUCUUCGUGGAAGACUCUGUUUCUCAUUUGUGGGGAGACAUAGCUCCUGGCUUUCUCCUUUCUGGAACAGUCAUUUAAUAAGCAGUUAGCGAGUCAGUCCUUAUAAGACACGCAGACGAAGAUGUUCAAAUGCAUCUACCUAAACGUGUAUGGGAGGUCCAACAUCCUUUUCCGUAGUGCCAAAUGUCAGCCUCGUGCUUGCCUGUCUCAUGGGGAAGUCACCCCAUGGAUUUAAAUUAAUUAUUUCAAUCUAGAUGCUAUUCUCAAUAAGACACUGGCUGUCAGAAGUGACUUUGUAAAUUAGUUUGCGGAAGAAUGGGAAGGGAAGGAAUAGAUGAGAACAAGGAGACAUCCUGAAGGAAGAACCAGGAAAUUGUCAGCAGAAUGUCUGGAUGUUGAGGAUCCUUCUGCACCAGUCAGGAUUCUCCAAUCCUCAGUCUAUCUUUCCCUAACGAACUAAGCAAAGGAAGGAAUUAACAGAUGAGAAAAAAAAAAAUUACAAAAUGUCAGUAUACCACCUCUUCACCACCUUGGGCUUAAAACAGGAAAAAUUCUGUGCCUUUUUGAGAAUGAUGUACAGAAGAGCCCACGAAAAGCUAGUAGAUGUGGAACAGCACUGGAGUCUUAAAAGAAUUUAGCUGACAAACUUGGAAGGGUUAUGAAUGGCAUGCACUGAUCAGAGAUUUACAGUUUGGCCAAGUUGCAUGGUUUCCCCCAGGAAUGAUGAGAAGGGUCCAAGCCUGAAGGCUUCUUUCCUUCUAAGCUGAUUGCAUGACAUUUUAGUGGCCUCUAUCACGAUGGGGGAAGGCUUGAGGGCUUCUUAACAACAUGACUAAUGAGCAGAAUUUGUUUUGUUCAUGAAUAGUUUUUCCUAUCUCAUUAUUUGAAAAGUGUGGACUGUGUUAUCUGUUCAGUGUUUUCUUAAACCAGCCCCAUGGACAUGUCUAACACGAGCAGCUCAAAUUAUUUCAGUCUGGCACACUUGCAAGCAACUGAAAACAUGAUCUUGUCGUGAUCACAAAUCUACUAGUGAUUUUGUACCUUAGGGAAAUCUCAGGUGUAGUUGCCUCUUAGUAUCAUCCAAGGAGAUGGGGCUGUGAUACAAAUGAAAAGCUGAACAGCCAGAUGAUCACAUCUGGAAGAUAACACAACAGGGAAAUUCUAGUGAUGGAGGAAGGCUCCAUAGGCUCUUCCUAUAAAAACAUCUCUCAGUGACUGUCAAUAGAGAACUGCUCCUCUGUCCUAUGAAUCUUACCGUGUGUUAGAUGUCUUUUAUCAUCUCCGAAGGCAUUCAUCUACCUUAAUUUUAGAUGCAGGCAGAUACAGUACCCCGGAACACUAAAAUGCCUUUCUGCAUCAUGUGAAGUUGACGUCAAAGAGCUCAUCUGCUUUGGUGGUGGAGGAUGAGAGGAGCUACACAGAUGCAAAGCAUCUUGUCUGCUGUACAGCUGCACGAUGUGACUGCAGGAAGCCGAUCGAUGUGACAACUACAAGCACAUUGCCAAGAGAUGGUACACGGAGCAAAAGCACCAUAGCAGCUCAGGAAGGGUUGCACCAGCAUCGUGUGAUCAUCUCAUGUGACGACUUGACCGGUCCUCAGUAGUCCUGUAACCCCAUCAGUGUCUAAUCUGGAGGCUGUGUGGAGAUGUUGCCAUGCUUGUUCAGUACAUCCUGAGCUCUUGUUCUUCUUGGAGUCUGUCUUUAAUCUGAGCUAAUGAUUGAGGUAGUACAUGUUCGGAAAGUUAACUCAGAUGCUGCAGCAGCCGUGUCAGCAGUUGAACGUUAAUGACGUUAAGGGUGACGUUGUGGGCAGGCAGACAGCCCUGGGCUGAGAUUAACUGGAGGAACAGCAGUGAAAGAAACCGCCAGGUGCUGCAGAAAGUGGAGAGGCUCACGUGGGGCCAGUCCUGACCUGGAGCUAAGCUGCUGGAGGGAGCAACAACCAGAAAGAAGUGUGAGAGGUGGUGUCAGACCUCCCCUGGGUGGAGAGUGAGGGUGGGUGCUGGCUUAGGGAUCACUCAGCAAAGCUAUUACUAAUUAAGGGCUAGGGAGAUUGGGUAAAAGGGAAAGAGGCCUUUUCUCCCUCUCUCCCCACAUUCAUGACCAUUGGAGCUGUGGUCAGUGGUGCUGCCGUAGGUCCCCAAGGCUGCCCAGGGCUCCUAUCUGCACUGGAGCAGAGUCAGUGGUGCAGCCAGGAGCCAGGAGAAGCUAUGGUCGGAUACAGGCAGCCACCUUCUUGUGGUGUCGAUGUGCAGGCUUCACUACACAACUGAUAGGGCUGAGCAGAUCCCCAUUGCUUGUCUGCACAUGGACAAUGCAAUAGCCAAGCUUUGACGUUUAUGGAACUGUAUCUCUGCAGCACGUGCAGGUAUUUGGCUCAAAUCUGGAGGUACACCGUGCCAGGAGGAGCACCACCACUCCCAGAUGCAUGCCACCAGGCCUCUCAGCGCAUCUCAGUGCCACCAGCAGUCAUCCCAACUCCAAACCCUACAUGGAAAAGCUGCCUGAACAAUGGGGGAAAACGUCUGCAUCAGGAAUGACUCAGGACUUUGGUAUAUCGCAUCCUUAAAUAUUUAUUUCAGUGAUCUUAUAAAUGUUUUAUUUGGAGAAAAAUAUUGUAAUUGGCCAAUAUUCCACAAAAUAUAAACAUUUUGCUCUAAAACA